CAAGUUUGUCGCCAUACUUCAC
Molecule: microRNA, 22 nt
Filed under: Ciona intestinalis (vase tunicate)
Lineage: Eukaryota; Metazoa; Chordata; Ascidiacea; Phlebobranchia; Cionidae
Description: Cin-Mir-4010-P2_3p* (star (passenger))
Source: RNAcentral